This 678-nucleotide non-coding RNA is filed under the name Trichomonas vaginalis G3. Its description in RNAcentral is "Eukaryotic large subunit ribosomal RNA". It matches the Rfam family "Eukaryotic large subunit ribosomal RNA", at positions 2634 to 3401 of the family's 3401-position model. Lineage: Eukaryota; Parabasalia; Trichomonadida; Trichomonadidae. The record is from Rfam by way of RNAcentral.
CACACCUUCGAAAGAGCAGCGAAGGUGUCCUAAGUUGAGCUCAGUGAGGACAGAAAUCUCACGUUGAGGAUAAGGCCAAAAGCUCAAUUUACUGUGCCUUUUUGUACUAGGAUCAGUUACGAAAGUAAGGCCUAACGAUCCCUAAAUAGCCUCAGGUGCGUGAGGAUUGGGGUGACAGACAAGUUACCUCCGGGACAACUGGCUUGUGGCUGCUAAGAGAUCAAAUCAACGCAGCUUUUUGAUUCUUCGAUGUCGGCUCUUCCUAUCCUAGUGAUGUACAAGUUGCUAAGGGUCGGAUUGUUCACCCGUAUUAGGGAUCGUGAGCUGGGUUUAGACCGUCGUGAGCCAGGUUUGUUUUAUCCUACUGGAUAUAGCAUCAUGAUAGUAGAUUGAUUUAGUACGAGAGGAACUGUUGAUUAUGGCCUCUGGUUAGCGAUUAUCGGAAACGGUAUGUCGCGCAGCUACGCCGUCUGGGAUAAUGGCUGAAAGCCUCUUAAGCCAGAAGCCCAUCUAGAAAGUGAUGCACGUGAUGUUGGACCGAUACGAAUAAUCAUACUCAAAAGGUCCGCUUCAUAGGUAACCCAAUGUAGAAGACAUUGUGUGAACGAAGGUACUGUAAGCAGUGGAGUGGCAUUACGUCCACGACCUGUUGAGGUUCAGCUUCGCUUCUAGGUUUCC